GGGGGUGACCGGUUUCGACGGGGAUCAAGAGGUCAGCGGUGCAUGUCGAGCUCUCGGAGUCUCGUUAAACCUUCGGGAAAAAACAAUAAUUGACAACGAUCAAUUAGCCCUCGCGGCCUAAUAACCCGCGACGUCUCUCCUCUCUUUGUCUGCGGGAGGGGAAGAGGCGACACUUUGCAGGCUG
Molecule: transfer-messenger RNA, 184 nt
Filed under: Nitrospirota bacterium
Lineage: Bacteria; Pseudomonadati; Nitrospirota
Description: Nitrospirae bacterium partial transfer-messenger RNA
Rfam family: transfer-messenger RNA
About the family: Bacterial tmRNA, also known as 10Sa RNA or SsrA, is named for its dual tRNA and mRNA-like properties.
Source: RNAcentral